RNAcentral lists this long non-coding RNA (6505 nucleotides) under Lactuca sativa (garden lettuce). Its description in RNAcentral is "long non-coding RNA (LSAT_LNC006536)". The record is from RNAcentral. Lineage: Eukaryota; Viridiplantae; Streptophyta; Magnoliopsida; Asterales; Asteraceae.
AAACAUUACGUUAAAAUCCGAAUCACUUUCAACAUAUUUUUCAAAACAUUCACAUUAUCAGAGUUUCCUAGAAAUCAUAAGUCUAAAAACGCGAGAAUGUGUAUAGUCACGCCUUCACCUUGACACGAUCUACUGAAUUACCUGAAACCAUAAACCAAAACUGUAAGCACGAAGCUUAGUGAAUUUCUCCUAGAAUACCAACACACAACAUAUAACAUAUACCACAAACAACAUGCAAACAUAGUCUUCAACAUGUUUGGGCCGCCUCACCGGGCCUUCAGCAUGUCUGGACCGCUCACAUAACCUUCAACAUGUAUGGAUCACCUCAUCGGGUCUUCAACAUGUCUGGACCGUUCUACUCAUGUUAAUCCGAGGACCAAAAAUGACAUACUUAAAACUCAAGGAAUGAAUGUGAAGUUACUUCAAAGAUGGGGUGUUACAUCCGAUCAAAAAUUUGAAUUGAGCACAACUGUUUGGAUUAGAAACUGAAAGAUGCAAAAUUUGUUUUCCACCAAUGGUGGUGACAGUUGUCUCGAUAAUAAUCAUAGUUCACUUCCAAAGACUUUGUCGUCUUCCUCUUUGUCGUUGUUACCAUAUUAGAAUUGGUAUGCUGCUACAAAAGGCUCUGAUGUAGCCUUGUUAGUUCCUUUGAUAUUGACUGACACCUUCGAUGUGUAACCUACUCUAUAAUUUCUUCCUCGGUUUAUUAGCUGAUUUGGGGACCCUUUCGUAUUUUGUGAACAAACAAAGCUAUUUUCACUUAAUAUUAUUUUCAAAUAAAAUAUUAUUUAAUAUUUAACUAUUUGUUUUCAUCAUUUGUUAUGUUGAAAUUAAUGCAACUUAGACUAUCCUUAUUCAUAACCAAAACCAACACAACUAUCCAUUAAAAAACUAAUUUCUUACUCUUCUACCUAUACAACCAAACUAAAUCCAAAUUUUCAUUCCCAUUAGACUAUAGGGUGUGGUGGGGUUCCUACCGCGGUUUGCCACCUCAACAGUGUCGCACACCGUCCCCUCCAUGCGGUUUCUAUUGCAGUUGAGCUUGCUGUGGUACUUCAUAGCCGUACUCUCUCUCUCUCUCUCUCACACACACACACACACACACUCACACACACACACCUCUUUCUCUCUACCAUAGUUUCCACACCUAGAGUGUGGCAAAGAACCACACUUUGUGUGGUAAAAUUGACAUGUCAUCCAUAUGGCGGCUACGUGGCAGAAGAGGAAGUGCGGUUUUUAUGGCACCAUACCAACCCGACCCAAAAUUAUUUUUUAUUAAAUAAAUACAAUUAAUAUAAUUUAAAAGUAUUUUUAUUCUAUCACAAGUUAUUAUAAAUGAUACGCAACAGAUAAAAAUCUGAUAACGAGUAAUCUAUGAUAAAAUAUAUAAAAUCAAAAGAUAUUUAAGCCCAUUUUUAAACCUAUCUUAAAUCAUAACAAAAUACAAAAGUUAUAAUAAAAUUUUCUAUACGAAUUGGAUAUUGAAGUUUCAUUCAAUGUAGAAUAUAAAACUCAAAAUAAUUUAACAUAUCUCAGAAAGAAAACUGCCAUUUUGAUCCUUUAAAUAUUAAAAUAUAACCCAACCUGGGUUUGAUACAAAAGCUUUGGUUGUUUGUUUGUUUUUUUAUUUGUCUUUAUUUUAAUAUUUUCUUCACCAACGAAUAGGUAAAAGAAAUAACCAAUGGUAUAGUCUUUCUAUUUGUUUUUAUCAUUUGUUAUAUUGACAUCAGAUGGGUACCAUUAAAGAAAAAAAAAAAAACUUCAUUCAUUUAAAGCAUUUUUUUGCUGUGUCACACAGUGUAUCUUAUUUACGAGUGAUCUUGUUCAUAGCAUUUAUUUUCUCUUGGUUCAACACUAUUUCUAAAAUGAUAAGCAAAAUCAAUUAUGUUUGGUCAAACUACCGAAUUUAUAGCAUUUCAUAUCAUGACAUUGCACUUUGAACCUCUACCCGAUUAGCCCAAUAAAGUUUGCUUUGUGUAAACGGAUAACAUUGCUGAUGAGUAGAUUUUCAAAAGUACUUUGAAAAACUAUAAAUUUUUUCUGUGAAAAUCUUGAUUUGGGUUAAAAAGUCUUUUCUUUGUUGUUAUAUUAUAGUGGCAAUGUGUGGUAGCGCCUGCUCAAAAUGGAUAAGAUAUAGUAUCUAAUAAGCAUGAUACGUACUAAGAGUGAAACUGAUAUCAGCAAAUUAAUACUUGCACAAUCUUUUUAGCAACAAAUAUAAUUAGAUCAAAUAGCAAAAAUUACCAUGAAAACAAAGAAUUCAGGCAUUCAUGCAUGAGGCUUCAAUUUCCAACUAAAAGUUAUUAACAUAACAAACAAACAGCAGUCCAUUUGUCAACAAGAAACUGGUUUAAUUCUGUGCUACCACCAAAAUCAUAACAAAACAUUUACAUUUAAUUUAGAGGGAGCGAUAGAAACACAAUCUCAAAACCCCAAAUCAUGAUUCCCAAUUUCUCAAACUCUCCAAAAGAACCCUUCUGCUCUUGUCUUCUAUCCAAUUGACCACAAACAAUUUACUCUCUUUUUGUUAUUUUUCUUACUUUAUCCUAGAAACGUUUCCACUCACACAAAUAAUUUGUGUUGGGCAGUCUACAUGAUCAAAUAUUUUCAGUUAUAUAUAUUAAGCAGCAUUGUUAAUUUCAAAAAUAGGAACAAUGCUGGAGUUUACAGGAAAUUUGUGCAACCUAGUACGGAAACUGGGAACUAAAUAACAGCUUAAACAUAUAUAUGAAUCGUGGGUGAUCCAGACAAAAAAAAACAAGAAGAAAGAAGAAGUAAUAACAAAAAGGUCGAAAUCAUUAAUGCUCUAGAAUUGGUCCCUAUGUUCAAAAAGUUACAGUCCCUUGUUAUGGAUAAAUGACAUUUAUAAUUAUACCCUCAUUUAUAGAAUUAAUGUUAUUGAAAAAAUGAAUACGAAUGUUAUGUAUGUUAGUCUCUAUGAGGUAAUGAGAAAAAACAGAGUAAUUUAGCAAGAACAAGACCACUGAGAACCAACACAAAGGUUUAAUUGUAUCAUCAACAUUUUAGACGUGCAUCAACAAUAAAUUAACAAUAGAGUACUUCGACAUUUAAGUUCUUAAUAAUGCAUGAAUGCCAAGUAGAAAACAGAAAAAUACGUAUUCAAGUUCAUAUUUGCAUUAUCUCGGUCUUAAUAACACAAUACCAUGAAGACAAACAGAUAAUGUAGAUGAAUAAAAUCAGUAAUAACCAGCAUACAAAUAGUUAGCCACACAAGAAACUACUAAUAUUGAAACAUAGAGAUGAAGGCCUCGUUUGUUUUUCUACUACAAAAGUACUUUUUGAGCACUUUUCCCUUCUGGCGGGUAGACGUUUUGCAAGUGCACGUCUUCUUCCGCAAACUUGGAAAAAGACAAAAGACAUUUAACCACUUCCAAAACAAACAGCACCGAAGAAUACCUGUUGCGACAGAAUGCGUGUUGCACAGCAGAGCUCGAAGUGGAGAAAGAAGAAACCCUAUUCGAUUGACACAGAUACAACGAUUUUGCAGGCCGUGGAGAAGACGCAAACGUAUUAUAUAUGGGAUGUAUCCUUUUAUUAUUAGGUUACUAGGUCUCAGACCCAUGUAUUAUAUACACUAGGUCACAAUUCCCACGGGUAAAAUAUUUUUAAAAUUUUAUUAUUUAAUAAGAUUAAAGUUUUCUAAAACUUUUGUAUUGUUUGUUUAAAAUUAAUAUAUAUUUAUUUAAACAUCCGAUAUACGUUAUGUAUGUAGCUAAAUUCAAACAUAGUCUAAAUGUUUUGGGUGCCAUAACACUAAACAAAAAAGAAAAUACUAUUUUCCAUGUUUAUGGAUUAACUAAAACUUUAGAGAAUGUUCAUACAUAAAAAAUAAAAUAUAACGAUUUUUUGAACCGAUAAAAAAUAGAAUCUCAAACAACUUCUAUUAAAACAUGAAAAUUUUAACUACUUAAAAGCUAAAUCAUCUAAUUUAUUUAUCAAACAUGAAGGGUUACAAAGAUAAACAUUAUAUAUUGUACUUUAAAAUUUUGAUCUUGCAAUUUGACCAUUUCAUGCAAGUACAUUGUCGUCCUACCACCAUUUACUUAGAUUAUCUAAAAAGAUCAAACGUAUAUUUUUACUUGAUAACAUUGGGUAAAAUUUCAUCAAAAUUUUGAGAGCAAACGUAUAUUUUUACUUGAUAACACUGGGUAAAAUUUCAUCUUCUCUUUCUUAAUUGAGAUAUUAAUUUUACAUUAAGUCAAACUUCAGAGCAAGAACAUUGAUUGAGAUUAACACUUAAGUACCCAUAUUUGAAUUUCAUGAGUAUUUUAUCUCUAUUUUUCUUUUGAAGGAGCACUUUAAAAUGUUGUUACCUCAUAACUAUAGCAUGCACCUUUCCAACACUCAUAAGACUUUUAUGGAUUCCAAUAAUCUUUUGCAAGUUUUUAGAUUUUUUGCAACCACAUAUUGGAAUGAAAUGGAACAUUCCGGUUCUUAAAAAGUGAUUUUAUUCGUAAACAUAGUGUAAAAAGGAACCAUUUUGCCCCUGUAGUCAAAUAUAUUUAUUAAUUUUUUUUUACUUAAUAUAAACCAAAAGAAUUAAUAAAAAACAAAAAAAAAAAAAUAGGGGCUUGAUCUUACCUCAAGCAAAUAGGAUACUACUUGGUCUAGAGACAAAGUCUCUCCGUCUAUGGUAAUAUGCGUCCAGGCUUUAGAAUAUCACUCAUCCUAAACCUAUAAAAAAAUAUUCUCAAAACCUAUUAAGAAUUAAAAUAAAAUUAUAAUCCAUUUUGGUUUUCAUUUCGGGUGGUCAAAAGUGCAUUCAACUAAUCCAAAUCCUAACCAGGUAAUUCAAAGCGGGUCUUUAACCAUAAAAAAUGCAAGAAAUAAUAAUGUACUUUCUAUUUAAAGAACAUUAUUAUAAAUAGAUAGAUAUUUCAAACUAUAACGUUGUAACAGGAAAAAAUAAAAAUUAAGAUGCUAUCAAAAGUCAAACAUAGCAGCCUAUUCCAAUUUAACCUUGUUCAGUUUGUUUAAAAUUUACAAUAUAUCUUCAUGCUCUUGUAUAAAAUAUCAUAUAUUUGAUCUGUUCUACAAUGUAUCUUAAAACUUUACAGAACACACCUAAUUAAUUUCAUAUGUACAAUCUACUACACAUAAUUGUUUUAGAAUUAUAAUUAUAAUUAAUAAAUAUGAACAAUCAUACAUACAUUUUCAUCUUAAUUAUGAAACUACUUUUUUAUAGUCAUAUCCAGAAACAAAAAACUAAAACAUGAUUCCAAAUUAUAAAAAAAUAAAAAUUUGACACCCAGAUGCUUACAUGCUAAAUUCCAAACAUGAUUGUUAUGAGGUAAUACAUUUAUCUCUAAACACAAAUACACAGCUACACAAAAAUAUAUUUUAAGCAUUAAAGCACAAGAGAACAUAACUAAUAGAUAACAUAUACCUUUAUUGCCCCAUGAAAAUUGGUUUGACAGACAAUUUGCCUGUCAUCUGAUAAUAACCCAAUCCUUAUUCUUUGAGUAUACAAAAUUCAUUUAAAAGAAUUUCGACACCAAGGAUAGGAGACUGUCAAAAUCCUAAUAAUAAAAGUUAGAAAUACACAUACCUUAAAACUACCAAAUACACAUACCUUUUCACCAUGUUCAACAACAUAUGCAAAAUAACCCUCACCAAUUGAUUAGGCCAGUGAUCCCUGUCUGGCAAGCAUAAAAACGAAACUACAAAACUGAUGUAAGCAUACUUAUAGAAUUGCCCUUUUUUGGUGAUGUUCUAUAGACCUGACACUACACAUGAGACCAAAGAUAUUUGGUUGAGAAGAUGAAAAAUAAGCAAAAAUUAAAGAAAAAGAAGAGUGUCAAAGGAACUCCAUAUGCAGAAAUCCAAAUGAUUUCCCCUACAACGAUUAAGGUUUUCCUUCCACCCAUAGCGAUCUAGGCAAAUCUCUGUCUACUCGACAAAAAUAUAACAAACCUCUCACCAAUAGCUAUAAAUUCUUGAUAUAUAGAGAAGAGAAGAUCGAUUGGGUUGUUGGGGGUAGGGGGUAUUCAAAAAUGGAAAGAAUUUAAACAAAAAAACGUAAAUCUACAAAAUCGAAAUCGACCUCUAAUAAAUCGUUUGUACUGUGGAUGGAAUGGAGGAUCGAUUCGGAGACCAUCACAUAGUCGUAAAUAACCCUCAUGAAAACUUGAACCAUAUCAAUUCUCUGGCAGAUAAGAGAAGGAAUGAGAUAGAGAGGUGUAUUCGUAAUCCAUAAAAAGCUGCAACAUGGUUGUUGAUUUCUUGAGAUGUAGAUAGAAAUCAAUUUCGGUAUAUCCCUAAUUUUAUGCUGAGAACUUUAAAAUCAGAAACCGAAUCACAUAGAGGAACAUACAUAUUAAGGGGGUAUGUUGUUGACGAUCUAAUCAAAGAAAAUGAACCAAGUUUCCAAAAUAAAUGAGAGAUUUGGGGAAUAAACGGACGCCACGUAGGAAUAAAGAUAUUACAGGUUUUAAAAGUUGAGGGGCAAAUCAGGUAGUUUAUUUUGAAAUUUCUUUAGCACGAG